CCGGUUAGCUGUUUCACCAGCAGUCCCAGUGGAGGGAAGUAGGCCCAGGCGAGCAGGGUGUCGCAGCGUAAGUCCGACGAUGGCGGCGCAGUAGUCGAAUGGCGUCCACAUUUAGCCGACGAAGGCUGCGCUGAGCGCCAUACCCGCCUCACCUUAUCUCCGAGUCACGUGUUCAUGACUGACACGGGCAACCAUACGGCCCGUCGUUGCCCACGCGCACCCCAGACGGGGCCGCCAGUCGCGGCCCCGGACACGUCAGUCCCCAGAUCUGCAGUGAUGUCGCCCGGCUCUGACGAUGGCGCACAGCCGCCGUGUCCGCGGUCUCCGUCGCCGCCGCGGUAUGCGGCGCUGGGCGGCGACUCGUACAUGUCGCGGUCUCGCCAUUGGGGGCCGAACGAUUCGCGGCUCCCGCCGACCCCGCCGGCGACGAGUUUCCUCCGGCGAGUCCUGCGCCGUCUGGCGUGGUCGACGCUGCCCGGGAGGUUCCUGGCUGGCAAGCUGCUGCUGUGUCUACCGACGCACAGAGUUUUGUCGUGGCUGUGCUGUCCGCGGCCGUGCUCCACGGUUGCGACGUCUGCGGCCAAGCUGCCCGCUGCUGAGCUCCGCGGCCGAGCUGCCAGCGGCCGUGCUCUGCGGCCGUGCUCUGCGGUCGUGCUCUGCGGCCGUGCUUCCCGUGGCUGGGCCCUCCGUGGUCCCGUGAUCGUGGCCGCGGCGAGGGUGCCGCGACCUGCGCGAUGCCGUGCGCUGCAGUGAUGGCGCCGCGCACUGUGCAGUGAUUUUGCCGAGCGCUGCGUACGCGGUGGGUGCCGCGCGCCGCGCUGUUGAGCGUGCCGUAUUCGGACGGUGGCUGCCGCGCGCAGCGUGGUGAUUGCUGCGCUCUGCCAUGAGUGCCGCUCACUGCCGUGGCCUGAGUGCCGCGCUCGGACGGAGUGCCACGCGCCGUUGUGUUGCGUCGCCUUCUGCCUUUUGAUAUGUGCUAUCUCCGAAUUUAAUGUUGCUUGUUGCCGAUGUUCGCUUCUUUUCGUUAAGAGGGUCGGGUAUAGUCGGUCGAUUUAUUCGCACCGUUUGAUUUCGUACCGGCUUCUCUUCUGUUUCUUAUUGUUUUCUGCGAUGUCACUUGUCCGAUUUUAUAUCUGAUUAAUUCACGUCACUUAAGUAUUUAUUUUAUAUUGUCAUAAUAACUUACGGCGCUGUUCCUUUAUUUUCUGUUUAGUUGCAGCCCUAGUACCUUAAUUUCCGAUGUCUCUUCGGUUUGUUGUCGCUCGCAUGUUCAGAGAGUCCUGGUUGGCCGGCGCGAGCGGCGGUUGUGGAAUACAAGCUCGUCUGUGAA
This is a long non-coding RNA of Amphibalanus amphitrite, 1330 nucleotides long. RefSeq lists it as uncharacterized. Lineage: Eukaryota; Metazoa; Arthropoda; Thecostraca; Balanomorpha; Balanidae. The record is from RefSeq and is a predicted model, not a curated record. The transcript has 2 exons.